CUUAUUCCUGGCUUUGACUUCAAGAAGUUCCUUCCUUAUUUCUACGAUUUCUGUCUUGAACGUUUCAAACUUUUCAUUAAUGAACUCCAUGCCCUUCCUCACGUAAUCUAUCUCUGUUUCUAUGACUUUAAUUAUGUCUUUUUUUUUUAUUUCGGCGAGCUGCUUAUCGAGCCGAUCUGAUAAAUCUGCAAGCGCCUUAGUUACUUCCUUCACAGUCGAAGGUGGCUUAUCAGACAUUCUAUUGGCAGUAGACGGAGCAAUCCAGAAGCCUAAGUGUUGUAUCUAUUACGAAGUAGGUAGUUACUGACGUACCUGCGUAGGACAAGCAAGCGGUUACUUGCCGAUCGACUCCGUGGCUGCCUGGAUUGCUCCGCUAUGGCGCCUUCUUCCGCCGGGGCAGCGUUUAUGUAGCCGCAGAGUGACGUCAACGCUGGUUGGAGUGCAGACGCAGUUUGCAGCCUGGCCGCUGUAAGAUGACUUGCACUCGACCUGGUGCUGCGCUGCUAGCAAGCUUCACAGCGAGGUGGUGGCGAGUAAUGAUCCCGGGGCCGGAAGUUUAACCGGGAGUCUCCUGGGAACUAUGUUUAAGAAAGCUCGUCGGUGCGACUACCUAUGCAGAUGCGUGUAAAGCUUCCGGACAGAGAGCAACACUGCGACACAUGCUCUGGGAAUGUGCCGGCAAUAACGAUACUGAAACCACCUCCGCUCACAACGCGUCCAUAAUCCCGGCCGUUGCCAGAGUACAGGAAGCCUCGAGCUCGCUUCUUCCCGACGCCACGCCGGCUGCCGGAGCCACCGGGGACCUUCUCCAUCCGCGUCGCCGCCACUGGGAGGGGGCUCUCACAAGUUCAGAGUUGGCAGACCAGCUCUGGGACGUCCGGCAAGCCGAAGAUGCCGCCCGAGUCCAAGGACUUCGAGCCGCCACCUGAGGCCACCACAACAAAAACUGCCGGACCAUUCUUUAAUAAAGUUUCUUCUUCUUCUUCAUCAAAAUA
Long non-coding RNA from Dermacentor andersoni, 995 nucleotides. RefSeq lists it as uncharacterized. The record is from RefSeq and is a predicted model, not a curated record. NCBI's taxonomy places the organism in Eukaryota, Metazoa, Arthropoda, Arachnida, Ixodida, Ixodidae.